GGGCCGGUAGUCCAGCCUGGUAGGACGCUGCCUUUACGAGGCAGAAGUCGCCGGUUCAAGUCCGGUCCGGCCCACCA
RNAcentral lists this transfer RNA (77 nucleotides) under Candidatus Bathyarchaeota archaeon. Its description in RNAcentral is "tRNA-Val". It matches the Rfam family "tRNA". Rfam says of the family: Transfer RNA (tRNA) molecules are approximately 80 nucleotides in length. RNAcentral also lists the same sequence under 1 other name. The record is from RNAcentral. Lineage: Archaea; Thermoproteati; Candidatus Bathyarchaeota.